GCCAUCGUGGCGUAACGGUAGCGCAUUGCUUUCCUAUACUCAUUCGAGGUGCGAGGCAAAGGUUGUGGGUUCGAACCCCAUCGAUGGUU
This is a non-coding RNA of Lyophyllum atratum, 89 nucleotides long. The record is from the annotation of a GenBank genome assembly. NCBI's taxonomy places the organism in Eukaryota, Fungi, Basidiomycota, Agaricomycetes, Agaricales, Lyophyllaceae.